Molecule: unclassified non-coding RNA, 333 nt
Filed under: soil metagenome
Description: partial contains 5.8S ribosomal RNA, internal transcribed spacer 2, and large subunit ribosomal RNA
Rfam family: 5.8S ribosomal RNA (bases 1-120)
Source: RNAcentral
GAUGAAGAACGUAGUGAAAUGCGAUAAGUAGUGUGAAUUGCAGAAUUCAGUGAAUCAUCGAAUCUUUGAACGCACAUUGCGCCCCUCGGUAUUCCGUGGGGCAUGCCUGUUCGAGCGUCAUUUACCCCUCAAGCACUGCUUGGUGUUGGGCGUCUGUCCCGCUUCGCGCGCGGACUCGCCCCAAAGGUAUUGGCAGUGGUCGUGCCAGCUUCUCGCGCAGCACAUUGCGCUUCUCGAGGCGGUCGAUCGGCGUCCACGAAGCUCACCUCCACCGUUUGACCUCGGAUCAGGUAGGGAUACCCGCUGAACUUAAGCAUAUCAAUAAGCGGAGGA